CGUCUUACGUGACAGUAUCUAGAUGUCGUUAUCGAUAGAAAUCUCUAAUACUGUCAGGUAAUGAUGAC
This 68-nucleotide microRNA precursor is filed under the name Eisenia fetida (common brandling worm). RNAcentral describes it as "Efe-Mir-8-P6_pre stem-loop". It matches the Rfam family "mir-8/mir-141/mir-200 microRNA precursor family", at positions 10 to 68 of the family's 72-position model. Rfam says of the family: The bounds of the precursors are predicted based on conservation and base pairing and are not generally known. The record is from RNAcentral. Lineage: Eukaryota; Metazoa; Annelida; Clitellata; Crassiclitellata; Lumbricidae.